GACGAACGCUGGCGGCGUGCCUAAUACAUGCAAGUCGAACGAAGCUGUUUUAACUGGUGCUUGCACCGACUUAAACAACUGAGUGGCGAACGGGUGAGUAACACGUGGGUAACCUGCCCCAAAGCGGGGGAUAACAUUUGGAAACAGAUGCUAAUACCGCAUAACCACAGAAACCACAUGGUUUCUGUGUCAAAGAUGGUUUCGGCUAUCACUUUGGGAUGGACCCGCGGCGUAUUAGCUAGUUGGUAAGGUAAUGGCUUACCAAGGCAAUGAUACUUGGCCGAACUGUGAGGUUGAUCGGCCAAAUUGGGACUGAGACACGGCCCAAACUCCUACGGGAGGCAGCAGUAGGGAAUCUUCCACAAUGGACGAAAGUCUGAUGGAGCAACGCCGCGUGAGUGAAGAAGGUUUUCGGAUCGUAAAACUCUGUUGUCAGAGAAGAACGUGUGCGAGAGUAACUGCUCGUGCAGUGACGGUAUCUGGCCAGAAAGCCACGGCUAACUACGUGCCAGCCGCCGCCGUAA
Molecule: ribosomal RNA, 524 nt
Filed under: uncultured bacterium
Lineage: Bacteria
Description: partial 16S ribosomal RNA
Rfam family: Bacterial small subunit ribosomal RNA
Source: RNAcentral